CUAGAUUCAUUAUCAAUAUGGUCGUUUGCCAUUUAUUUUAUUGUCAUUGAUUUGUAUACAAAAUAUGUUCACGCAUGUCUACUUGUAUAAUUUGAUUGAUUAUUUUUUAUAUGUCUGGGAGGGGCACAUAUUGAUUGAAACUUCAUCCAACUCAAACAAAUAUUUUAUAUCUGGAAAAUUUCAGGUAAAUCAUCUUGUCCGAUCUUUUAUUUAAUAUUUUUUGUUGUUGGCUUGUUUUCUCCAAUUUAAUCUUGUUUUGUUUUUUCUCCAUAAGAUCCACGAGCGAAACAACAAAACUCAGGUCAUGAAAUAUCAUUUCAAGCCUAAUGAAAUGGAAACUAUUUACGUUGCUGUAUAUUUUGAUGUCUUAUCUACUAUGUUGUGUUGUAUCGUUCGAUUUAGUGACGUCCAACAUAAACAUUCAUCAAGUGUGAUUUCUUUGAUUAAAUACAGGUAAAAUGAUAGACAUAAAUCUCCUUCAAUUUUAUUAUUAUAAUUUAUUUAGAUUUACUUGGAUAAUAAUGUUUUAUAUUAUUAUGUAUUUUAUAAAAAAUACAUAAUAUUUUAUAUAAAAGAGUGAUUUAUCCUUUAAAAAAAAGUGAUUGAUGAGCGCUAGUUUUUUACUCGAUUUUUUGAAGAAAAAAAAUCAAGUAAAGAAACAAUAGCAUACAAUUUCAUAUGAAUCCAUGUUGCUAACAUAUAUUAUGUCUUGUAAAUUCUUUUUUUUUUUUUUUUUUUUAACUAUUGCCGCACAGUAUGUGAAAUAAAAAUAUUUCAUUUAAAUAAAAUGAUUGAAAUAAAAUGCAGAAGUUUCAAAACAAAUUUACUAUUUUAAAUUUCUUAACACCUGUAAGUCUUUAUAGGCUGCAUUCUUAGCUAAAAGAAAUGUGUGCACUCUCACGUUUCUUGCUCAUUUGUAUGUGAAUGUAUGAUAAGUUAUAUUUGAAUAUUGUGGACAAAAAUUACAAGAUAAUUAUAAACAAUUGAAACUAUUUGGUUUUCAUGUAUGUUGUUCUCCUAUAUAGGUCUACUUGUGGCAAAGGAAGAGGAGCAGGCUAAGAAGUGUAUACUUAGGUUUUUUUUCCGCUAAACCAGGAGAAAGAACAUGCAUCAAGGGGAAGCAACGACAACCCAACUAGGUUGGCACCCUGAUGAACCCCCAACUAGGCUAAGAAGUGUAUACUUGGGUUAAAAUUCAGCAAGAUCAAUCGUAUUUAUGGUGAUUGAAUUGAUGAUUGAACUCUUGUUCUUCCAAAGUUGCUAAGUGCAAUGGAGACCUCAGUUGAAUUUUGUGCUCUUGAGAACACGUCUCAUUUGUAUAAGGAGGAUUCUUCUUAGAUGACAACGAAUUUUGGAAACAUGGUCAUUGGUGAUGGAGAUCAAUUUAUAGUUUACAUAUUCAAUUAUAAAAUACUGAACAAGACAAAACAACGAGUCUAUAUUAUCAACCAAAUGAGUAUCACGUCAUUCUUGUGUAAAUUCUAAUAUCCCAUAGUAUCACACAAUUCUUUUGAGAUGACAUAUUAUAUUUAAACACAUCCUGAACCUAUCAAAUACUGAUCAGGAAAAAACAAGUGAUUUUAUAUAUUCAUAAAUCAAAUUU
Molecule: long non-coding RNA, 1603 nt
Filed under: Medicago truncatula (barrel medic)
Lineage: Eukaryota; Viridiplantae; Streptophyta; Magnoliopsida; Fabales; Fabaceae
Description: long non-coding RNA (MTRU_LNC000762)
Source: RNAcentral